AGAACACGCAGGGACAAUGAAAGUCAUCAUAUUCGUUCUACUGUUUGCCGUCUUCCUACAGACGUGCUACGCAACAACUACUCCCACCGCCGCUGGAACUACAGCAAAAGCACCCAUCACCACAACAUCUGGUGCAGAGGGAAUGACGCCACAGACCGUGAUGAUGCUGAUUAUAGGAGCCGCUAUUUCGACUAUCGUGUUUUCGAAUUGAUCCUUUCUCCGUGAAGUGAGGAGAUUUAUGAAGUCCAGAUUGACGUCAAUGAAAUACCGCAUUCCCUGGGGCUAUGACUUGAUGACUCUGGACUGAUUCUCUCUUUAGGGCGGUUCUACAAAUGAAAUCGAGGAGGGGAUAGGGGCGAUCUGGGUUAAGUAAAACUAGUUUAAUAGCCAUAACUCAACAGAACACAAUUUGGUCAUUUGCAGUCAUCUGUGGAAUCUGACCAAGAUCGAAAGAGAGUGUGGCUACGUCUAACAGACCAAAAACAAUGUACAUACUUUAAAAAAGCUAAAGAUGCAUUGUACUUUCCGAUAAAACAAUGAUAAAGUUGAGAAUAUGAUAGAAAUAAAAUAACGAAUAUUAUGUAUGCUUUUGGAAAUUGAAUUGAACUGUACUAUCUUGAUUUAAAAAACAAAAUAAAUAAAUAAAUAAAUAAUAUAUAUAUAUAUAUAUAUAUAUAUAUAUAUAUAUAUAUAUAUAUAUAUAUAGACAGAAUAUGAUAGAACUAAUGAAGUAGUAUGAUAAGUGAUAUGUGUCCAUACCAUGCAGACACGCGUAUCCUUACGAAAUCCAUCAUCAGAGCUAGGAAAACAAAUUGAAUUGCUUGUCCAAAUCUCUCCUUCCCCAGUGUGUUAAUUUAAACGAUUCGUCCUUUGUGUUUGUACGCAUGUAAGUCGAUCUUUAUGAAUACAAUAUGUUUAAUGCUUUAACAACUGCAGCUUGCUCGUAAAUAAAACAACGAACUCGGUGACGUAUACACACGGGGUGUGUAUCUCCCUUGUUUCAGUCAAUAAAAUGUUGUGCACAUGCUAUUUUGUUUUUAAACAAAUAAAAUCAAUAUACUAAG
This is a long non-coding RNA of Gigantopelta aegis, 1064 nucleotides long. RefSeq lists it as uncharacterized. The record is from RefSeq and is a predicted model, not a curated record. The transcript has 3 exons. NCBI's taxonomy places the organism in Eukaryota, Metazoa, Mollusca, Gastropoda, Neomphalida, Peltospiridae.